GUGAGGAAUUUUCCGCAAUGGGCGAAAGCCUGACGGAGCAAUGCCGCGUGAAGGAUGAAGGCCUAUGGGUUGUAAACUUCUUUUCUCAGAAAAGAAUUAUGACGGUAUCUGAGGAAUAAGCAUCGGCUAACUCUGUGCCAGCAGCCGCGGUACGACAGAGGAUGCAAGCGUUAUCCGGAAUGAUUGGGCGUAAAGCGUCUGUAGGUUGUUUAAAAAGUAUUCUGUCAAAGAUUAGGGCUUAACCCUAGAUAGGCAGAAUAAACUUUUAAGCUAGAGUUUGGUAGAGGCAGAGGGAAUUCCCGGUGGAGCGGUGAAAUGCGUAGAUAUCGGGAGGAACACCAAAGGCGAAGGCACUCUGCUGGGCCAAUACUAACACUGAGAGACGAAAGCGAGGGGAGCAAAUGGGAUUAGAAACCCCGGUAGUCC
Molecule: ribosomal RNA, 426 nt
Filed under: uncultured bacterium
Lineage: Bacteria
Description: partial 16S ribosomal RNA
Rfam family: Bacterial small subunit ribosomal RNA
Source: RNAcentral